GACACUGAAGUCAACCAUACUUAUAUGUACCCUUUCUGUGUCCCUGUUCUAUGGUCCCACUAUCUUGCUCCGUAUCUUCUGUUCCAGCAGCAGGGGUGGAGUUUGCUGACAUCACCACAGCUGUGACAUCAGAAAGCUCCAUCCAUGCCCCAAGCCCGUGCCUGGAAUGGAAGAUAUGGAGCAAGAUAGCAGGGCCAUGGAACGGGGACAGGAGCAGCAAAGAAGACAGACUGAGUAACCCACACAUUCCAUGUUUGGCCAUUCAGCUUUUCAAUGCUUAGAAAUAAUAUGAGCCUUGUUGGGAAAACUCUCAGAGUGAACAGAUUUAUCAUUUCAAAGAACGAAGCCUUGGAGGUCUGCUGAAGAGCUGUCAAGGCCAUUGUUUCCAUCUCUAAAGAAGAACUGCAAUAAGGAAAAAUGGUCUCUAUGUGCCUUUCACAUCCUACAGUACAAGCUUCAACUAUAGAAAUAAAAGCAUUACAAGCAACAUAUGAAAUUAAAAAUAAGACAUAGACAUGUCAAGAGUGUCAAGACUACAUCAUGUCACAGAAGGCUUAUAGUAAAGGAUGCUGAUCCAUGGGGCGAUUCAAUUUUUUUUUUCCUUACUAGGCAUAAUUAUAAAAUGUUUCAUUGACUUUAUUUGUUUGCCUUCCCCUGGAUCAAUAUGGCUACAGGCAAAGAAUGAGCACCACUGCCAAUUAAACUGUGUUGUACUGUAGGGAGGAAUUGAUGGAUACAUGUCUUUCUUGACCUUAUCUACGACAAAU
Hyla sarda is the source of this 767-nucleotide long non-coding RNA. RefSeq lists it as uncharacterized. NCBI's taxonomy places the organism in Eukaryota, Metazoa, Chordata, Amphibia, Anura, Hylidae. The transcript has 4 exons. The record is from RefSeq and is a predicted model, not a curated record.